CAACACCUCAAGUGGUCAGGAUGAUUAUUGGGCCUAAAGCAUCCGUAGCCGGCGCUGUAAGUUUUCGGUUAAAUCUGUACGCUCAACGUACAGGCUGCCGGGAAUACUGCAGCGCUAGGGAGUGGGAGAGGUAGACGGUACUCGGUAGGAAGGGGUAAAAUCCUUUGAUCUAUUGAUGACCACCUGUGGCGAAGGCGGUCUACCAGAACACGUCCGACGGUGAGGGAUGAAAGCUGGGGGAGCAAACCGGAUUAGAUACCCGAGUAGUCC
RNAcentral lists this ribosomal RNA (270 nucleotides) under uncultured archaeon. RNAcentral's name for it is "partial 16S ribosomal RNA". It matches the Rfam family "Archaeal small subunit ribosomal RNA", at positions 477 to 747 of the family's 1478-position model. The record is from RNAcentral.